UUGGGGUUUGGGGUGCAGACAUUGC
This 25-nucleotide microRNA is filed under the name Homo sapiens (human). Its description in RNAcentral is "hsa-miR-6855-5p". The record is from miRBase by way of RNAcentral. Lineage: Eukaryota; Metazoa; Chordata; Mammalia; Primates; Hominidae.